UAAAUAUGCUGAAUAGUCAAUUUUCGGCUGUGUAGCAACACAUCUUUCACCUUGUCAAAGCAUUCUUCCUCUAAGUCUUGGAACCAAGAAGGAGCCAACCCUGAAGGUGGAGGACCUGCAUGUAAAAAUGAAGACAGAAGGUGAGGAAUGGGGCUGAAGAGAAACCAUAGACUUAGUGCCAUCUGUGCCAGACUUUGUCUUCAGCUGCUGGCAGAGGGUGCACUCUUGUGGGAUGUGUCUCUCUCCCAGGCAUCGGACAUAGUGAGAAUGUGUGUCUUCUACAGGAAUUGCUUCCUUGCAGGAGAGGCACCUCGUGAAACUGGGGGAGUCAGGCAUGCCCCUGGUGAGGCUAUCAACCUCCAAAAGCGAGCAAUGCAAAAUAAAAGUCUGCUCUUCUU
Chelonoidis abingdonii (Abingdon island giant tortoise) is the source of this 398-nucleotide long non-coding RNA. RefSeq lists it as uncharacterized. NCBI's taxonomy places the organism in Eukaryota, Metazoa, Chordata, Testudines, Testudinidae. The record is from RefSeq and is a predicted model, not a curated record.